This 2005-nucleotide ribosomal RNA is filed under the name human gut metagenome. RNAcentral describes it as "bacterial LSU rRNA". It matches the Rfam family "Bacterial large subunit ribosomal RNA", at positions 3 to 2035 of the family's 2925-position model. The record is from RNAcentral.
UCAAGUAGAAAAGAGCAUAAGGCGGAUGCCUUGGCACUGGGAGCCGAAGAAGGACGUGACAAGCUGCGAAAAGCUGCGGGGAGGAGCAAAUAUCCGCUGAUCCGCAGAUAUCCGAAUGGGGGAACCCGCCUGUAGUAAUAUACAGGCAUCCUCAGAUGAAAAAGAUAGUCUGAGAGAAGGAAACGGGGUGAACUGAAACAUCUAAGUAGCUCCAGGAGAAGAAAGAAACAUCGAUUUCCUAAGUAGCGGCGAGCGAACGGGAAAGAGGCCAAACCGAAGGACUUGUUCUUCGGGGUUGCGGACCACCAGAAGGUAUUGAGGAAGAUAGUCGAAUGGUUUUGGAAAAGCCAAGCGAAGAGGGUGAAACUCCCGUAGACGAAAUCGGAAACAAGCCAGGUGGCACCAGAGUAGUACCGGACACGUGAAACCCGGUAUGAAGCCGGAGGGCCCACCCUCCAAGCCUAAAUACUACCCAGUGACCGAUAGCGAAUAGUACCGUGAGGGAAAGGUGAAAAGGACCCCGGGAGGGGAGUGAAAUAGAACCUGAAACCUUAUGCUUACAAGCAAUGGGAGCGGAAGUGACCAUGUACUUUUUGUAGAACGGGCCAACGAGUUAUGGUAUGUAGCGAGGUUAAGGUGCUGGAGCACUGAAGCCGAAGUGAAAGCGAGCCUUAAUAGGGCGAAAGUUACAUGCUGUAGACCCGAAACCGGGUGACCUAUCCAUGUGCAGGUUGAAGCGAGAGUAAAAUCUCGUGGAGGACCGAACCCGUAUACGUUGAAAAGUGUUGGGAUGACGUGUGGAUAGCGGUGAAAUUCCAAUCGAACUCGGAGAUAGCUGGUUCUCCUCGAAAUAGCUUUAGGGCUAGCCUCAGGGAGAGAUACACGGAGGUAGAGCACUGAAUGUUCUAGGGGCCUUCACCGGUUACCGAAAACUAUCAAACUCCGAAUGCCGUGCAAUCAUACCUGGGAGUCAGACUAUGAGAGAUAAGUUCCAUGGUCGAAAGGGAAAGAGCCCAGACCUACAGCUAAGGUCCCAAAAUGUAAGUUAAGUGGAAAAGGAUGUGGAGCUGCAUAAACAGCUAGGAUGUUGGCUUAGAAGCAGCCACUCAUUUAAAGAGUGCGUAACAGCUCACUAGUCGAGUGGCUCUGCGCCGAAGAUAAACGGGGCUAAAACUUACUACCGAAGCUUAGGAUACCGCAAGGUAUGGUAGAGGAGCAUUCAUUACGGGCAGAAGCCGGAUCGUAAGGUUUGGUGGACUGUAAUGAAGAGAGAAUGUUGGCAUGAGUAGCGAAAGGCAGGUGAGAAUCCUGCCCACCGAAAAUCUAAGGUUUCCUGAGGAAGGUUCGUCCACUCAGGGUUAGUCGGGGCCUAAGCCAAGGACGAGAGUCGUAGGCGAUGGACAACUGGUUGAGAUUCCAGUACCACCGAAAGUCGUAUGAGCGAAGUGGGGACACAGAAGGAUAAGCAGAGCACGCCGCUGGUAGAGCGUGUCCAAGCAGUGAGGCUGAUAUGUAGGCAAAUCCGCAUAUCGAAAGGCUGGGCUGUUACGGGGAGGGAAAAGAAGUACCGGAAGCUGCUGAUUUCACACUGUCAAGAAAAGCCGCUAGCGAGACCGUAGGUGCCCGUACCGCAAACCGACACAGGUAGAUGAGGAGAGAAUCCUAAGGUGAGCGAGAGAACUAUUGUUAAGGAACUCGGCAAAAUGACCCCGUAACUUCGGGAGAAGGGGUGCCAUCGAAAGAUGGCCGCAGUGAAAAGGCCCAGGCGACUGUUUAGCAAAAACACAGGUCUCUGCUAAAGCGAAAGCUGAAGUAUAGGGGCUGACGCCUGCCCGGUGCUGGAAGGUUAAGGGGACUGCUUAGAGCAAUCGAAGGCAUGAACUUAAGCCCCAGUAAACGGCGGCCGUAACUAUAACGGUCCUAAGGUAGCGAAAUUCCUUGUCAGGUAAGUUCUGACCCGCACGAAAGGCGUAACGAUCUGGGCGCUGUCUCAACAAUAGACUCG